UAAGACGUAGGAGGCGAGCGUUAUCCGGAUUCACUGGGCGUAAAGCGCAUGUAGGCGGCUCGACAAGUCGUGUGUGUAAGCCCCCGGCUCAACUGGGGGAGGUCAUGCGAGACUGUGGGGCUUGAGGGCAGCAGAGGAGCGUGGAACUCCCGGUGUAGCGGUGGAAUGCGUAGAGAUCGGGAAGAACACCAGUGGCGAAGGCGGCGCUCUGGGCUGCAACUGACGCUGAGAUGCGAAAGUGUGGGGAGCAAACGGGAUUAGAUACCCCGGUAGUCCACACCCUAAACGAUGAGCACUAGGUGUGGGUGGGAAUGCCAUCCGUGCCGUAGCCAACGCGUUAAGUGCUCCGCCUGGGGACUAUGAGCGCAAGCUUA
RNAcentral lists this ribosomal RNA (374 nucleotides) under uncultured bacterium. RNAcentral's name for it is "bacterial SSU rRNA". It matches the Rfam family "Bacterial small subunit ribosomal RNA", at positions 521 to 896 of the family's 1533-position model. The record is from RNAcentral.